GGCGAACGGGUGCGUAACACGUGGGCAACCUGCCCCAGACUCUGGGAUAACUCCGGGAAACCGGGGCUAAUACCGGAUACUCUCGGCUGACCGCAUGAUCGGCUGAGGAAAGCUCCGACGGUCUGGGAUGGGCCCGCGGCCUAUCAGCUUGUUGGCGGGGUCACGGCCCACCAAGGCUUCGACGGGUAGCUGGUCUGAGAGGACGACCAGCCACACUGGGACUGAGAUACGGCCCAGACUCCUACGGGAGGCAGCAGUGGGGAAUCUUGCGCAAUGGGCGAAAGCCUGACGCAGCGACGCCGCGUGGGGGACGAAGGCCCUCGGGUUGUAAACCCCUUUCGGCAGGGACGAAGCGAUCACGUGACGGUACCUGCAGAAGAAGCCCCGGCUAACUACGUGCCAGCCGCCGCGG
This 412-nucleotide ribosomal RNA is filed under the name uncultured bacterium. Its description in RNAcentral is "bacterial SSU rRNA". It matches the Rfam family "Bacterial small subunit ribosomal RNA", at positions 97 to 520 of the family's 1533-position model. The record is from RNAcentral.